AGAACGAACGCUGGCGGCAUGCCUAACACAUGCAAGUCGAACGAGAAAGUCCCGCAAGGGAUCGUAAAGUGGCGCACGGGUGCGUAACACGUGGGUAAUCUGCCCUUUAGCUUGGGAUAACCUCUCGAAAGAGAGGCUAAUACCGGAGAGACCACAGGGACAUCAGUCCUAGGGGUUAAAGGUGGGGACCGUAAGGCCUACCACUAAAGGAUGAGCUCGCGCACUAUCAGCUAGUUGGUGAGGUAAUGGCUCACCAAGGCUUUGACGGUUAGCUGGUCUGAGAGGAUGAUCAGCCACACUGGAACUGAGACACGGUCCAGACUCCUACGGGAGGCAGCAGUGGGGAAUCUUGCACAAUGGGCGAAAGCCUGAUGCAGCAAUGCCGCGUGAGUGAUGAAGGCCUUCGGGUUGUAAAUCUCUGUCGGCUGGGACAACGGGUUUAUAUUUAAUAAAUAUAGACAGUGAUGGUACAGCAAAGGAAGAGGCGGCUAACG
Molecule: ribosomal RNA, 494 nt
Filed under: uncultured bacterium
Lineage: Bacteria
Description: SSU rRNA
Rfam family: Bacterial small subunit ribosomal RNA
Source: RNAcentral